This 152-nucleotide small nuclear RNA is filed under the name Suricata suricatta (meerkat). Its description in RNAcentral is "U2 spliceosomal RNA (ENSSSUG00005009204.1)". It matches the Rfam family "U2 spliceosomal RNA". From Rfam's summary of the family: U2 is a small nuclear RNA (snRNA) component of the spliceosome (involved in pre-mRNA splicing). Complementary binding between U2 snRNA (in an area lying towards the 5' end but 3' to hairpin I) and the branchpoint sequence (BPS) of the intron results the bulging out of an unpaired adenosine, on the BPS, which initiates a nucleophilic attack at the intronic 5' splice site, thus starting the first of two transesterification reactions that mediate splicing. Lineage: Eukaryota; Metazoa; Chordata; Mammalia; Carnivora; Herpestidae. The record is from RNAcentral.
AUCACUUCUUGGCCUUUUGGCUAAGAUCAAAUGUAGUAUCUGGUCUUAUCAGUUUAGAUAUGACACCAAAAGCCAACAACAAACAAAAUGAAACAGAAAACUGAAAAUUUUGUGCUUCAGAGAUCAUCAAGAAAGUGAAAAGACAAGCCACA